RNAcentral lists this long non-coding RNA (1375 nucleotides) under Homo sapiens (human). RNAcentral's name for it is "HSALNT0115627". The record is from RNAcentral. Lineage: Eukaryota; Metazoa; Chordata; Mammalia; Primates; Hominidae.
GAAGACUUGAACUUAAUACAGCAAGAAAGACCAUCAAGUUUACCACUUCUCCUUGGACCUCUUCACAUUUCUACCUAGAUGUCUCAUCAGAAUGGAAUUUUCAGAUCCUUCCUUCUGCCCCACAGUGCUCUUUGCCAUGCUCUUUUAAGGUACCAGAAUACUGGGAAAAAAAGGGCGUUCUGGAUAAGUGAAAAUGUCCUAGGACCUGCUUGGUGUUUACUGACUUACUAGGAAGUUGAUAGUGAAAUGUGAAGGGUUCAUGACAGUGACUUGGUGUUACUAGAAAGCAAAAGUAAAGUGAGGAACACAGGAAUCUACAAGUGCUGGGUGUGGGGUAGUGGGUGGGGUGCAGUUGUGGGUGAAACUUCAGUGUGAAAUUUGGAAUCAGAACAUUUAGCUGAGUCUAAAUGGAGUUUCUUACUUUUCUUUCCUUUCAUUUCCUUUUCCUUUUUUAGAGAGGGUCUCGCUCUUUUGCCCAGGCUGGAAUGCAGUGGUGCAGUCAUGGCACACUGCAGCCUCAACCUCCCUGGGCUCAGGUGAUCCUCCCACCUCAGCCUCAUGAGUAGUUGGGACUACGGGCAUGCAUGCACCACCACAUCUGGCUAAUUGUUUUGUAUUUUUUGUUGAGACGGGGUUUUGCCCUGUUGCCCAAGCUGGUCUUGAACUCCUGGACUCAAGCAAUCCACUCAUGUCAGCCUCCCAAAGUAUUGGGAUUACAAGUGAGAGCCACUGCACCUGGCCAGUACUUUAUUUUCAUACAGAGACUGAGAGUAAGACUUCAUUUCCAAAUAAAAGUAGGUUAUUAAAUAUUGCUUUAUAUAUUUUUAAAGUUCUUACAGAAAGAAAGCUUCCAUAUACUCUAGACCAUUUUGAGAUUCUUUCAGGCUGUGACUCUUAAGGUCAGCUACAUUUUUAUUGACAGCAAUCCUGGAAGAAAAGUAAAGAGAAGUGAGAAUAUAAUGUUGUGAUUCUGUUAAAAUCACUCAAAAUGCUUGAAAUUGAUAAUACUUUUUGGCAUGUUUCUUUCUAAAAUCAAUGUGAUAAUAUCCGCUGCAUUGAUAAACAUAGUUAGCAAGCAUUUUUGUACUUAGCGUUUGUGUAUAAAAUGUAAAGGAAGGUUUUUUAAUUCAGAGAAGGUGCUCAUGUUUGAAAGACAAUAUAUGGAUCUGGAAGAAGUAAAAGUAAAUCUUUAAACUCUAAUUGCAAGGCUGUCUGCUCAUAUUUAAUUGACACACGUUUAAACAUUGGUUGUAAUGGAUUGUUUGCCAUUUAACUGACAUUAACGACCUCAGUUAACUCAUGUUUUUAUAUUACAUUGGCUGUUUAUUUUUUGUUAAUUUCCCUUUAGUGUUCAGCUUCCCAUACAUUAAAAGUU